This 1866-nucleotide long non-coding RNA is filed under the name Mytilus galloprovincialis (Mediterranean mussel). Lineage: Eukaryota; Metazoa; Mollusca; Bivalvia; Mytilida; Mytilidae. The record is from RNAcentral.
AAACGGUAGCAAUGUAGGAAAGACAAUUCUUAGAAAAUAUUCUGAUCUUGUUCCAAACAUGCCACCAGAAUAGGGAAGAUUUCUUAUAGUAUCAUCAUCAUCUAAACUCAUCUCAAAUUUAAUAUAUAGAGAUGAUUCAGUUGGAAGCAUUAGUAUUUACAUGAACAAUUUUGGAAACUUCAACUCACAAUCUAGGGCAUACAUGGAACCUAUGAUGAAUAUCGAUGGUUUGGCAAGGUUCUGUUAUUACGAAAACGUUUCCCCAUUUUGGGAGUACGAAGAGAACAUAACUGAUGCAAUUUAUAUACGCAGUGCCAUCAUAGGCACUUUGAUGCAAGCUGAUAGUUUUAGUGAUUCCUGGAUAGACUUCCUUGUUGAUUACAUACUCAGAGCCUACAGAGAGAAUUUGUAGGUCAUAAUGAGUAUGACAGGGACACUUCUAGGUGGUGAGUCUCAGAAUAAGUCUUUAACAUGUAUAACUGGGAACCAAUCAUAUAAUUAGCAAGGAUUGAGAUGAAUCAAAUUUAUGUUAGACAUAUAUAGGCUCAGUAUAUAUAGGCUAUAUGCAGAUUCUACCAAUGUAUCGAGUGUAAAAUUAUAUUUAUCUAUUCGAGACAAUUAUAAUUUCAAACUUUAAACUCGAUACUUUAAAAUCAAAUUGUCGAGAGUGGAUAAAUAUCGUCACUGCACAAUAUUUAGUGGUGGCUCAUCUGUUUCUCUAAUGAUAAAAUGCAAGUUAAGCGGAAAUAAGCUUUUGAAAGUAUACUUAAGCAAGUUAAGCAUGAAUAAGCUAAAACUCUGAAAGUAUACUUUAUACAGUAUAAGAUAAGCUCGCCUGCCCUGAUAUUCAAAUUGUUUUGUUUGAUGUGCCACGCGUAUUUGUGGUCAACAUAAUACAGACUGCCAUUUUGCCUUAAAAAGGACAAAAGGUGGCUAAAUCUAACAAACAACUGCAUGAAAAAAAUACAUUUUACAACCAUAUUCCGGCCGCGCUUUGUCAUGUUAAACCUCCUUUAGUGUAAAAAAAAUGCACUCGGAUUUGAAAAGAUCAAAUGUCACUUUUUUUAUUUCCAGCCCACUCUUUUGGUUGACCGUUCAACUGUAUAAACGAAAUCUUACCAUAUUGAAGGAAACAUUAAAUACUAGUACUGAUCAGUGCUUAUUAUUCAGAAAUCAAAAUGUUACAUCAAUAUAGCGCUUUGCAGUACAUUGAUUAUAAUAAAAAUUAUCACUGACUAUAUGUUAAUAUAUACUGUAUAUUGUUUCUAGGUAAGGUAAAUGACGUGAGUACAGUGGCGACAUCUGUACACCCCGGAUGGAGAUCUGCAGUGGUCUACAGCUGUCGGCGUCGGCUGGGGGAAUGAUUACGGUGAUAAGAAUGACACGGGCUUUUUGAAUUUGAUAAAUUCAUAUCAGAAUAAAUUGUAUACAUUCGGUGAUGGUAUGUAUUCAAAUGAAGCUGGGAGUAAUGUGCCGUCAUUUUCUACACAUUUCUGGGGCUCUAACUAUGGGAGGUUAUUGAAGAUUAAACAAGAAUGGGACCCAGACAAUACUUUUACUUGUUUACAAUGCGUCGGAUAUACCGCUUCAACUUCAAGUUCAGAAUACUUCUACCGUGGAUCAAUAUGUCUUGUAUCAUUUCUUGUUUUGUCAAAGUUAUUGUUUUACUGUGACUGAUUUGUACCCGGAAUUAUAUUACACAUUCGUUUUUUACCUAAACAUUUGUCAGUUUUAUUAUUGAAUACUUUUAUUCUGUAUAAUAUCUUAGUAAAUAUAUUUCUGUUAAAUUCUUUUAGUGAGUUGAAGGAGUGUAAAGUGAUACUAGUAUACAGUCAGGACAUUCAGCAGUCUGAACGAUAGAACAGU